UACGUAGGGUGCAAGCGUUGUCCGGAAUUAUUGGGCGUAAAGAGCUCGUAGGCGGCUUGUCGCGUCAACUGUGAAAACCCGUGGCUCAACCAUGUGGUCUGCAGUCGAUACGGGCAGGCUAGAAUUCGGUAGGGGAGACUGGAAUUCCUGGUGUAGCGGUGAAAUGCGCAGAUAUCAGGAGGAACACCGGUGGCGAAGGCGGGUCUCUGGGCAGUAACUGACGCUGAGGAGCGAAAGCGUGGGGAGCGAACAGG
RNAcentral lists this ribosomal RNA (254 nucleotides) under uncultured bacterium. Its description in RNAcentral is "partial 16S ribosomal RNA". It matches the Rfam family "Bacterial small subunit ribosomal RNA", at positions 524 to 776 of the family's 1533-position model. The record is from RNAcentral.